Molecule: ribosomal RNA, 480 nt
Filed under: Escherichia coli
Lineage: Bacteria; Pseudomonadati; Pseudomonadota; Gammaproteobacteria; Enterobacterales; Enterobacteriaceae
Description: partial 23S ribosomal RNA
Rfam family: Bacterial large subunit ribosomal RNA
Source: RNAcentral
UGAGGUAUGCUGGAGGUAUCAGAAGUGCGAAUGCUGACAUAAGUAACGAUAAAGCGGGUGAAAAGCCCGCUCGCCGGAAGACCAAGGGUUCCUGUCCAACGUUAAUCGGGGCAGGGUGAGUCGACCCCUAAGGCGAGGCCGAAAGGCGUAGUCGAUGGGAAACAGGUUAAUAUUCCUGUACUUGGUGUUACUGCGAAGGGGGGACGGAGAAGGCUAUGUUGGCCGGGCGACGGUUGUCCCGGUUUAAGCGUGUAGGCUGGUUUUCCAGGCAAAUCCGGAAAAUCAAGGCUGAGGCGUGAUGACGAGGCACUACGGUGCUGAAGCAACAAAUGCCCUGCUUCCAGGAAAAGCCUCUAAGCAUCAGGUAACAUCAAAUCGUACCCCAAACCGACACAGGUGGUCAGGUAGAGAAUACCAAGGCGCUUGAGAGAACUCGGGUGAAGGAACUAGGCAAAAUGGUGCCGUAACUUCGGGAGAAGG